RNAcentral lists this ribosomal RNA (386 nucleotides) under uncultured bacterium. RNAcentral describes it as "bacterial SSU rRNA". It matches the Rfam family "Bacterial small subunit ribosomal RNA", at positions 28 to 415 of the family's 1533-position model. The record is from RNAcentral.
GACGAACGCUGGCGGCGUGCUUAACACAUGCAAGUCGAGCGGUAAGGCCCUUUCGGGGGUACACGAGCGGCGAACGGGUGAGUAACACGUGGGCGACCUGCCCUCAGCUCUGGGAUAAGCCUGGGAAACCGGGUCUAAUACCGGAUAUGACUCCAUGACGCAUGUUGUGGGGUGGAAAGCCUUGUGCGGCUGAGGAUGGGCCCGCGGCCUAUCAGCUUGUUGGUGGGGUGAUGGCCUACCAAGGCGACGACGGGUAGCCGGCCUGAGAGGGCGACCGGCCACACUGGGACUGAGACACGGCCCAGACUCCUACGGGAGGCAGCAGUGGGGAAUCUUGCGCAAUGGGCGAAAGCCUGACGCAGCGACGCCGCGUGAGGGAUGACGGC